CAUAGCUCAGUUGGGAGAGCGUUAGACCGAAGAUCUAAAGGUCUCCGGUUCGAUCCCG
RNAcentral lists this transfer RNA (58 nucleotides) under Emiliania huxleyi. It matches the Rfam family "tRNA", at positions 7 to 61 of the family's 71-position model. Rfam says of the family: Transfer RNA (tRNA) molecules are approximately 80 nucleotides in length. Their secondary structure includes four short double-helical elements and three loops (D, anti-codon, and T loops). Further hydrogen bonds mediate the characteristic L-shaped molecular structure. tRNAs have two regions of fundamental functional importance: the anti-codon, which is responsible for specific mRNA codon recognition, and the 3' end, to which the tRNAs corresponding amino acid is attached (by aminoacyl-tRNA synthetases). tRNAs cope with the degeneracy of the genetic code in two manners: having more than one tRNA (with a specific anti-codon) for a particular amino acid; and 'wobble' base-pairing, i.e. permitting non-standard base-pairing at the 3rd anti-codon position. The record is from RNAcentral. Lineage: Eukaryota; Haptophyta; Isochrysidales; Noelaerhabdaceae.